GUGAGUGUAGCUCAACGGUUAGAGCAUCGGACUGUGGAUCCGAAGGUUGGGGGUUCGAUUCCCCUCACUCACCCCA
This 76-nucleotide transfer RNA is filed under the name Candidatus Moduliflexus flocculans. RNAcentral describes it as "tRNA-His". It matches the Rfam family "tRNA". From Rfam's summary of the family: Transfer RNA (tRNA) molecules are approximately 80 nucleotides in length. Lineage: Bacteria; Candidatus Moduliflexota; Candidatus Moduliflexia; Candidatus Moduliflexales; Candidatus Moduliflexaceae. RNAcentral also lists the same sequence under 7 other names. The record is from RNAcentral.